RNAcentral lists this ribosomal RNA (256 nucleotides) under uncultured bacterium. RNAcentral's name for it is "partial 16S ribosomal RNA". It matches the Rfam family "Bacterial small subunit ribosomal RNA", at positions 524 to 776 of the family's 1533-position model. The record is from RNAcentral.
UACGUAGGGAGCAAGCGUUGUUCGGAUUUACUGGGCGUAAAGGGCGCGUAGGCGGCAUAUUAAGUCUCUGUGAAAUCUCCGAGCUUAACUCGGAACUGUCAGCUGAUACUGAUGUGCUAGAGUGCGGAAGGGGCAAUCGGGAAUUCUUGGUGUAGCGGUGAAAUGCGUAGAUAUCAAGAGGAACACCUGAGGUGAAGACGGGUUGCUGGGCCGACACGUGACGCUGGAGUGCGCGAAAGCCAGGGGAGCAAACGGG